GUACAAGUGCUCCUAUCACGUCUAUUCUAAACUCAGAUGACAUUAACCGUUAUUUUCAAUUAAUAAACACUGAUCCUAAUUAUUCUGCUCCUUGUCAAGUUUCAAUCCCAGAAGGAACUCCUAUUCCUGUCAUACCUGAAUAUACAGUGCAGAAAUUCGUAUUAAAUCUGAAACGAACAAGCUCAGGCCCGGAUGAAUUGCUUUUCUGGUUAUGGAGAGACUUUGUAUAUGAUUUAGCACAAGUUAUAACCUCCGUCUUCAAUUCCUCCUUGAAAUAUCAGACAGUGCCUUUAUUGUGGAAAAUGGCAAACAUAUCACCCAUACCGAAGGAAGUACCCCUAAAUCAAUCAAAUCAACUUCGUCCUAUAUCAGUAAGCAAUGUUAU
Molecule: non-coding RNA, 385 nt
Organism: Paramuricea clavata
Lineage: Eukaryota; Metazoa; Cnidaria; Anthozoa; Malacalcyonacea; Plexauridae
Source: the annotation of a GenBank genome assembly